Molecule: ribosomal RNA, 464 nt
Filed under: uncultured bacterium
Lineage: Bacteria
Description: partial 16S ribosomal RNA
Rfam family: Bacterial small subunit ribosomal RNA
Source: RNAcentral
ACGAACGCUGGCGGCGUGCUUAACCCAUGCAAGUCGAACGGAAAGGCCCUGCUUGCCGGGUACUCGAGUGGCGAACGGGUGAGUAACACGUGGGUGAUCUGCCCUGCACUUCGGGAUAAGCCUGGGAAACUGGGUCUAAUACCGGAUAUGACCUUCCAUGUAGUGUGGGGGGUGGAAAGAUUUAUCGGUGUGGGAUGAGCCCGCGGCCUAUCAGCUUGUUGGUGGGGUAAUGGCCUACCAAGGCGUCGACGGGUAGCCGGCCUGAGAGGGUGGACGGCCACAUUGGGACUGAGAUACGGCCCAGACUCCUACGGGAGGCAGCAGUGGGGAAUAUUGCACAAUGGGCGGAAGCCUGAUGCAGCGACGCCGCGUGGGGGAUGACGGCCUUCGGGUUGUAAACCUCUUUCGACAGGGACGAAGCUUCGGUGACGGUACCUGGAUAAGAAGCACCGGCUAACUACGUG